RNAcentral lists this ribosomal RNA (223 nucleotides) under uncultured bacterium. RNAcentral's name for it is "partial 16S ribosomal RNA". It matches the Rfam family "Bacterial small subunit ribosomal RNA", at positions 524 to 746 of the family's 1533-position model. The record is from RNAcentral.
UACGUAGGGUGCAAGCGUUAAUCGGAAUUACUGGGCGUAAAGCGUGCGCAGGCGGUUAUGUAAGACAGUUGUGAAAUCCCCGGGCUCAACCUGGGAACUGCAUCUGUGACUGCAUAGCUAGAGUACGGUAGAGGGGGAUGGAAUUCCGCGUGUAGCAGUGAAAUGCGUAGAUAUGCGGAGGAACACCGAUGGCGAAGGCAAUCCCCUGGACCUGUACUGACGC